AACGAACGCUGGCGGCAUGCCUAACACAUGCAAGUCGAACGAGACCUUCGGGUCUAGUUGCGCACGGGUGCGUAACGCGUGGGAACCUGCCCUUAGGUUCGGAAUAACUCCCCGAAAGGGGUGCUAAUACCGGAUAAUGUCUUCGGACCAAAGAUUUAUCGCCUUUGGAUGGGCCCGCGUUGGAUUAGCUAGUUGGUAGGGUAAACGCCUACCAAGGCGACGAUCCAUAGCUGGUCUGAGAGGAUGAUCAGCAACACUGGGACUGAGACACGGCCCAGACUCCUACGGGAAGGAGCAGUGGGGAAUAUUGGACAGUGGGCGAAAGCCUGAUCCAGCAAUGCCGCGUGAGUGAUGAAGGCCGUAGGGUUGUAAAGCUCUUGUACCCGGGAUGAUAAUGACAGUACCGGGAGAAGAAGCUCCGGCUAACUCCGU
Molecule: ribosomal RNA, 432 nt
Filed under: uncultured bacterium
Lineage: Bacteria
Description: partial 16S ribosomal RNA
Rfam family: Bacterial small subunit ribosomal RNA
Source: RNAcentral